Molecule: ribosomal RNA, 881 nt
Filed under: Neopseudocercosporella capsellae
Lineage: Eukaryota; Fungi; Ascomycota; Dothideomycetes; Mycosphaerellales; Mycosphaerellaceae
Description: eukaryotic LSU rRNA
Rfam family: Eukaryotic large subunit ribosomal RNA
Source: RNAcentral
CUUAAGCAUAUCAAUAAGCGGAGGAAAAGAAACCAACAGGGAUUGCCCUAGUAACGGCGAGUGAAGCGGCAACAGCUCAAAUUUGAAAUCUGGCGCAAGCCCGAGUUGUAAUUUGUAGAGGAUGCUUCGGGGCAGCGACCGGUCUAAGUUCCUUGGAACAGGACGUCAGAGAGGGUGAGAAUCCCGUAUGUGACCGGCCCGCGCCCUGUACGUAGCUCCUUCGACGAGUCGAGUUGUUUGGGAAUGCAGCUCUAAAUGGGAGGUAAAUUUCUUCUAAAGCUAAAUACCGGCCAGAGACCGAUAGCGCACAAGUAGAGUGAUCGAAAGAUGAAAAGUACUUUGGAAAGAGAGUUAAAAAGCACGUGAAAUUGUUGAAAGGGAAGCGCCUGCAACCAGACUUCGCGGCAGUGUUCCGCCGGUCUUCUGACCGGUUCAUUCUCUGCCGCGAGGCCAUCAUCGUCUGGGCCCGCCGGAUAAGACCUUGGGAAUGUAGCUCACCUCCGGGGGAGUGUUAUAGCCCAGGGUGAUGCGGCGCGGCUCGGGCGAGGUCCGCGCUUCGGCAAGGAUGAUGGCGUAAUGGUUGUCGGCGGCCCGUCUUGAAACACGGACCAAGGAGUCUAACAUCUAUGCGAGUGUUCGGGUGUCAAACCCCUACGCGUAAUGAAAGUGAACGGAGGUGGGAACCGCAAGGUGCACCAUCGACCGAUCCUGAUGUCCUCGGAUGGAUUUGAGUAAGAGCAUAGCUGUUGGGACCCGAAAGAUGGUGAACUAUGCCUGAAUAGGGUGAAGCCAGAGGAAACUCUGGUGGAGGCUCGCAGCGGUUCUGACGUGCAAAUCGAUCGUCAAAUUUGGGUAUAGGGGCGAAAGACUAAUCGAACCAU